This is a long non-coding RNA of Neolamprologus brichardi, 897 nucleotides long. RefSeq lists it as uncharacterized. The record is from RefSeq and is a predicted model, not a curated record. NCBI's taxonomy places the organism in Eukaryota, Metazoa, Chordata, Actinopteri, Cichliformes, Cichlidae.
CGCGUGGUCCUGGUCGCGAGCACAUGGAAGUGAGGUUUGAGAUUUGUGUCUGAGAGACGAGCGAGCGACUGUCGGGAAAACGGAAUAUAAAGUGAAUUAAAGAAGCAGCCCGAGCAGCCCGGAAGCGCUCUCUCAGCCCGCUGGCUUUCCUCUGGAGCAGCUGUCGGUCAGCGUCAGUUGGUGAAUCUCGGAAACACAGAUCGCUAAUGAGGCUGGAGCUCUCGAGGACUGCCUGGCCCUGAACUCAGCGUCACUUAGCACUGUGUGAUGCUGAGGAUCCCCUGUUGCACUCGGGGAGGCUUAUGCAUCUGAAACGUGAAUAUUAUAUACGUCACGUCGAAUCAGGAGACGAGUGCUCUCGUCUGGCUUUGAGAUCUCGCUGUGCUCGGGGUGGUCCUGCAAACCCAGGAAAGUCCAGGCUUCUGCUGCUGCUGUGAUGGUGGUGUUGCAGACCCCCCCAUGCAGGCCAGAUCUUUCUGCAGCUUCUGCACCGACACAUGAUCUGACUAGGAAGGAUGCAAAGGUGGAAGCAGACCGUGCUGGAUUCAGUUUCACAGCAUCUUACUGGAGCAAACACACACAACAUACUGCAAGGUUUUCAGUAGUAUCUACUUCCCCCUUUUUUUUCUUUUUUUUUUGUUUGAGAGGACACGGAUACACCCUGACUGGGCCCCUGUAGUGCUCUACAUUGUGGCUGGGAAGUACCUAGUUUUACAACUGUCAUGCUGGCCUGCUUAAAGGGACAGUGCUGAUCAAUUCGAAGCACAUAUUGAGGGGUCUUUUAGUCACCCUAACAAGGGGGUCACAUGGAUGUUUGAGUCGUCACCUGAUAUGUGAGGAAUGUGCAGUCAGAAGAGCUGUUUUCUGCAUCAAGCACUGCAUAAAAAUACUGAUUGA